RNAcentral lists this ribosomal RNA (305 nucleotides) under uncultured bacterium. Its description in RNAcentral is "bacterial SSU rRNA". It matches the Rfam family "Bacterial small subunit ribosomal RNA", at positions 337 to 638 of the family's 1533-position model. The record is from RNAcentral.
GCCUACGGGGCGCAGCAGUGAGGAAUAUUGGUCAAUGGGCUUACGCCUGAACCAGCCAAGUCGCGUGAGGGAAGACUGCCCUAUGGGUUGUAAACCUCUUUUGUCAGGGAGCAGUUGGCGCUACGUGUAGCGUUAUCGAGAGUACCUGAAGAAAAAGCAUCGGCUAACUCCGUGCCAGCAGCCGCGGUAAUACGGAGGAUGCGAGCGUUAUCCGGAUUUAUUGGGUUUAAAGGGAGCGUAGGUGGAUUGUUAAGUCAGUUGUGAAAGUUUGCGGCUCAACCGUAAAAUUGCAGUUGAAACUGGCA